This 253-nucleotide ribosomal RNA is filed under the name uncultured bacterium. RNAcentral describes it as "partial 16S ribosomal RNA". It matches the Rfam family "Bacterial small subunit ribosomal RNA", at positions 524 to 776 of the family's 1533-position model. The record is from RNAcentral.
UACGGGGGGGGCAAGCGUUGUCCGGAUUUACUGGGCGUAAAGAGCGCGCAGGCGGUCGUUCAAGUCGCGUGUGAAAGCCCCCGGCUCAACUGGGGAGGGUCACGCGAUACUGAUCGACUCGAAGGCAGGAGAGGGUAGUGGAAUUCCCGGUGUAGUGGUGGAAUGCGUAGAUAUCGGGAGGAACACCAGUGGCGAAGGCGGUUGCCUGGAGCUUUGCUGACGCUGAUGCGCGAAAGCGUGGGGAGCGAUCCGG